UGGGGAAUAUUGGACAAUGGGGGCAACCCUGAUCCAGCAAUGCCGCGUGAGUGAAGAAGGCCUUCGGGUUGUAAAGCUCUUUUAUCAGGGACGAUAAUGACGGUACCUGAGGAAUAAGCUCCGGCUAACUUCGUGCCAGCAGCCGCGGUAAUACGAAGGGAGCUAGCGUUGUUCGGAAUUACUGGGCGUAAAGGGCGCGUAGGCGGUAAGAUAAGUCAGAUGUGAAAGCCUUGGGCUUAACCUGAGAACUGCAUUUGAUACUGUCUAACUAGAGGACGAGAGAGGAAAGUGGAAUUACGAGUGUAGAGGUGAAAUUCGUAGAUAUUCGUAAGAACACCAGUGGCGAAGGCGACUUUCUGGCUCGUUUCUGACGCUAAGGCGCGAAAGCGUGGGGAGCAAACA
This 402-nucleotide ribosomal RNA is filed under the name uncultured bacterium. Its description in RNAcentral is "bacterial SSU rRNA". It matches the Rfam family "Bacterial small subunit ribosomal RNA", at positions 355 to 774 of the family's 1533-position model. The record is from RNAcentral.